UUAAUAUGAAGUCUGUGUGUUGAACUAGUCCACUGUUCACUAAAGGAGACCCGAGUGUAGAACCGCACGUGGUAAUCGCAGUCCCGAGGCCGUCGCAGCGACCGUCGUCCCAGCGACCACGGCGAGAUAAAAAGGAAUUACUCCUCGUCAAAUUGUGUGCACUCGAAAAGAUAAGACAACGCAAACAAUAUUUACAACAACACAGAAAACAUCUCGAGACCGGACUCGAGUCCCGCAGCUCUAGAAGUCGAUAUCAAAAUAAAAUAGGAACGCCGUUAUCUUCACUGUCCAAAUGAACUAUGAAGACUAGUCGGGGCUGUGAAAAAAAUACAGCAAGGCAGACAGUCAAUAAAGCAACUACAUUUAUUUUGUAGGUGUGAAAAUAUUUCAGACAAGAUCAAACCGAUUCAAUGGUCAUCUGCACAAGGUGAUGGAAAAAAAGCUUUUUACCCCCCUAUGUUUUAACAGGCCACUGGCACUGAGUAGAGGUGUGUGCACGAUCGCCUUUAAAUUCCUAUUCCCGGGACCGUCCUGAAACACCUCCAGGUACUGUACUGAACUGACUCCAGGUACUGUACUGAACUGACUCCAGGUACUGUACUGAAACACCUCCAGGUACUGUACUGAACUGACUCCUGGUACUGUACUGAAACACCUCCAGGUACUGUACUGAACUGACUCCAGGUACUGUACUGAACUGACUCCUGGUACUGUACUGAAACACCUCCAGGUACUGUACUGAACUGACUCCAGGUACUGUACUGAACUGACUCCUGGUACUGUACUGAAACACCUCCUGGUACUGUACUGAACUGACUCCAGGUACUGUACUGAAACACCUCCUGGAUGCUGCUGUAGACAUCCUCCUGCCAUCAUUAAACUAUAAGGCGUUUCUGUGACGUGCUGCGCUCCCAGUUAGAGGAGAUGACCCGUUGAGUGGUCUUAAUAAAACAAAACAAAACCUCUAAUACAAACGCAAGACUCUUCAUCGAUCUUCGUUUCCUUUUCUAAAACAUUUACAGCGUCUAGCAUUGAAGCGCUCACUGCAGACUCACCACCUCCGGGUAAUAUCCCCAGACCCCGAGCACUGGGGAAGAUCAGUGAAGGCCUCGUUCAUAAUUGAUGGUGGAACCAGAGGAGCUGUUUUUCAGGAUUAUUACGAGAGCCGAGUCCAUUCCCACGUGUGCGAAGAGAGAAAUUCACGGCUCAAAGUUUCAUUCAACAUUACACACACAUCUAAGAGCUGAACCAGGCCCUGGGGAGUGUUCUUUAUUGAAACGCUAAAGGCCUUGAGAAGAUUAUUUUGUGGACCAGGACAGGUGCAUCAAACGCCGAACAGAAUAAUAAUCGUCCUCCAGCAGGGUUGUGUCUAUAAAACAGCAGUGCCGCGUCGCAUCGCCAUUCUGCUCACCGUUGUCGCUGUAGCUGUUUAAAAAAGGACAAGUAACGCUCACGAUCAACGAGCGGAUAGAUUUUCUUUGACGUGACUCACAUGGAGCUUAAUUUGCAUUUAAACGUGUGUCGCGUGCCCUCGCUCGUCCCCUCGCGGAUGAACUAUUGAGCGUAAGGUACCGCGAGUUUAUAAUAGUGGCGAUAAGUACACAUAUCGUCGAGUUCACACUUUGUCAGACGAAGUUAAAAUACAACACGGAUUGGUUGAGCGGUUUCGGAAAAAAAAACAACAUAAAGAAACCUUCGAAGAAGCUGCGUUUAACGUAGAUCGCAGCGGAGUUACGAAAUGCAAGUUUACGCUAACUAUCGGCGACAAGACUGACCAUCACUGUGGGUAAAUAAAUCAAAACAAAUCUGCAGCAGUAAAACAUGAUUAGUCGUGUAGUCAAAUUGUGACGUCGCCGCGUACAUGGUCCGAAAAAGAGCGCAGAAAAGAAAAGAAAAGAGGGGAAAAGCCUGACCUACAGUUACCACACUCCCGAAGAUCGCUGUCUGGAAGAAAAGCCAUUCUAGCCAGAGCUGUUAUGAGAACUCUUCCGUAACAUGACCAAUCAAACGGGCUGCACUAUUUCUAGCUCCGCCCCCCACGUCCCUGUUCGGCUUUUCAGCACUUGAUUACAGUAGAUCUCACUAAACGAUGCAAAUAACAGUGAAGAGAGUUUUACCUUGUCAUGUCAUAGUAAUAUUUGUGAUACUUUUUAGUCUUUCUCAUCGGUGCGUAAAAUCUCCCUCGGGUAUAUUGUAUUUAACCAUAGUCUAAGGUACAUGGUGAAUUAUUUAAUGUUUCAUCUGAGCUUUUUUAGUAGCGACGUAACGAGUAUGAAUACACCGUUGGAGAAUGAGCAGGUAAUCGUGUUCUAAACUGAUACAAACACUCAGUACGUUUACAUGGACCACGAUAAUCCGAUAUUAAUCCGAUUGAGACGAUAUUCUGAUUGAGAAACUAGCAUGUGAACAGAGAUUACUGACGACCUUAAUCUGAUUAAAGUCACACUCGGAGUAAACACAGAUGGAAUUACGUCAUGUGGCGUAUUCCUGUUUUAUUCACGUUAUCGACGUGCGUUACAGACGCGUACACGCCUUAAUCACACUAUUAACGUCGUGCGAGAGUUUUCACCGUAUUGUGCGACAGGACACGUACACACACGGCAGCGCUCGAGCGUUUUACGGCGAACAAGAGAACGCGUCCCAAACCGCGUACUUACGCGCGGUGUAGUAGGCGAGAUGCAUGUAUUUAUGUAAGUACGCGGUUCGGGACGCAGCCCACGGCUUCAAUCGGUCGUCUGUUUGCACGUACAGCGCGACUAAUAAUCAACCGCACUUGAAGCUUUCAUAAAAAAAUUAUAAAUGAAACACCCGAAACUGUAUAUGGUACCAUAACGAAGAUGAACUGUAUGUCGAUAGGUGAAAUUCUGGAGGGAUGACGGACAUAUAUGUAUAUUUAAUAAUAAUAAUAAUAAUAAUAAUAAUAA
Molecule: long non-coding RNA, 2924 nt
Organism: Ictalurus punctatus (channel catfish)
Lineage: Eukaryota; Metazoa; Chordata; Actinopteri; Siluriformes; Ictaluridae
Source: Ensembl